This 494-nucleotide long non-coding RNA is filed under the name Brassica rapa (field mustard). RNAcentral's name for it is "long non-coding RNA (BRAP_LNC002154)". The record is from RNAcentral. Lineage: Eukaryota; Viridiplantae; Streptophyta; Magnoliopsida; Brassicales; Brassicaceae.
GUUAGUCCGCUCUUCCCACGGAAAACAUAUCUUAAUUAAGUACUAUAUUCACUGUUUAUUUUGGAUCAAAUGUUCACUGUUUGUUUUAUUUUGAAAGUUAGGUUAUAUAUUAUGUAAAUCCUUAUUUAUGUGAUUUCUCUUCUUUAUUCAACUUCAGUCUUGUUUUAACUAAGUUUUCUAUUACGAUUGUUGAGAUUGUCUUAAUGGGGCUAUCUUCUGUUUUUAUUUUGAUGGUGUAAACCUUUUGAAUCUGCUUUCAAUGUCAUCUAAUUUUAGUUCAUCUGUUAUGUAUUUUUUUGUCGGGUUAUUUUAUAAUGUGUUCUUGUUUAAAAUGUGCAACUAAAUUUUCAUAUAAAUAUUUGUUUUUUUUUCAAGUUUUUUUUUUAAAAAAAAAUCAUGACAUAACCUUUAAAACAAAUGUAUAUUUAUAUAUUUAGCAAAGGAACAACGAAAACAGAUGUUUUUUAGAACAAAACCAGUAACUAUGUGUCCAU